GAACAUUCUAAUUUUUAUGCAACUCCAAUCGCCUCCCUGUGGAUCGACCUCUUACAACCACUAUUCUUCGAGUAGAAAAGGUAGGAGUAAAAAUUUAAAUUUAACUUUUGUUUGUCGGCUCUAACAACGAUCUGUCUAGCAUAUUUUUAGUUAGACAGGAAAGGACGAACAAAAUUUUGGCGCCGUUGCCGGGGAGGCAAAUCGAGAAGCAAGAACGAUCACGGAGAUCAAAUCAAAUUUUGGAUGCCCGGAGUGAACGUACUCCGGUAGUAAGUUUUUAUUUUUAUUUUUAUUAAUUUUCCUUAUUUUGAUAAUUUCUAGUUAAUAAUUUCGUAGUUAUUAAAUUCUAAAAUUUGAAAUUUGAAAUUUAAAAUUCAAAAAAAAAAUUAAAAUUAAAAAAAAUUCAAAAAUUCAAAAAUUUUCUAAAUUCAAAAUUUGAAUUCUGAGAUUCGAAAUUUGAAGUUUAAAAAGAAAGAAAUUUUUAAUUAAAUCAAAAAAAUAUAAAAAAAAUUAUUAUUUUUGCUAGUAAUUGAUAGGGUGCAAUCCCCCAAGGUUAUCAUACCUCUAUUGGGACUCCUCACGGAGUAAUCUCCAGAGCUUAUUCAACGGGCAUUCGGAGAUUGACUGACGCAUAAGAAUUGUGUUUAGUUUACAUUCAAGUUAUUGCUAUAUAAAAAAAAUAAAAAA
RNAcentral lists this long non-coding RNA (687 nucleotides) under Phoenix dactylifera (date palm). RNAcentral describes it as "long non-coding RNA (PDAC_LNC018924)". Lineage: Eukaryota; Viridiplantae; Streptophyta; Magnoliopsida; Arecales; Arecaceae. The record is from RNAcentral.